Non-coding RNA from Equus caballus (horse), 1033 nucleotides. The record is from RefSeq and is a predicted model, not a curated record. Lineage: Eukaryota; Metazoa; Chordata; Mammalia; Perissodactyla; Equidae.
CAAUAUGCAGUCCCGCCAGCAGUGAACAUGAGUGCCUAUUUCCAUCACCCUCGCCGGCACUUCGUGCUUCCAGACUUGGAUAUUUCCUAAUUGCCUUCUCCUUCUUAAUGUGCAUCUGGUCAGCCCUACUGCUCUGGGGUCGUUUCUAACCUUCAGUUUUAUUUUGCUCCUGGUUUCUUCAUCAGCUUGACCUCAGCCUUGGCUCUCUUGGCCACCUGAGCUUUCUGCUCUUUGGUCCAUCUACUCUGACAAGGAGCUCUCAUUCUGGCUUGAAUUCUAGGUGGCAGGUGGGCAGGAGAACAGCUCUGCCUCAACCUAGCUGUGUGACCAUGGGCUGAUCACUUGUCUGGGCCUCAGUUUCCUCACCUACACCAUAAAGGAACUGAGUUACAGGAACUCCAGGAUUCUAGCUCUCCAGUUCUGGCCUGGACUAAAAAAAAAUCUCACUUUAAAAAGACGCUCUUGCCCCCAUCGACACUAACCACUGUUUGGUCUGGUUGAAAUGCUCUACUGUAAGUGCACACAGUCGGACAUGAGUCAUUUGAAGAGGUAAUCAGUAGGACUCCUGCAUGCUUCGGGCAAGUAAAAGCUUCCACCUUGAGGAGGCGGGACCCAGAGCAGAGCCUGUGCUUCUGGGAGGGGCAGGCUGAAGAGGCCACCUCCCCCUUGAAAGGCUUCCAGAGGUUCAGACUCUGAUUCACCCAGGUUGGGGUUUGUCCAGGCUGUUUGCUCAUCCUCUCGCCCCUCCCAUUCCCCCUGCCGGUGUCCACACAUUAGGAGCUUGCAGUUGGCUUCCUGUGGCUCCAACAACAGGCCGGCGAGUGUUCUCCUUCCCUUCCCUGACCUCACCCAGCAAGCACUCCAGAAGUGGUCAAAGCAAACAGGACUUGCGCGGGACCUGGCCAGGAAAUCCAGAACAAAGGAGGACUUCUUUUAUCAGCUGUUUCCUUUUGUCAGAAGAUAAAUACUGCUACUGAGAGUAAUAACCUUAAAAAAUAAAAAAAACUAAACAAGAGAAAUAAAAUAAGUUACA